Molecule: ribosomal RNA, 492 nt
Filed under: uncultured bacterium
Lineage: Bacteria
Description: partial 16S ribosomal RNA
Rfam family: Bacterial small subunit ribosomal RNA
Source: RNAcentral
GAUGAACGCUGGCGGCGUGCCUAAUACAUGCAAGUCGAGCGAACAGACGAGGAGCUUGCUCCUCUGAUGUUAGCGGCGGACGGGUGAGUAACACGUGGAUAACCUACCUAUAAGACUGGGUUAACUUCGGGAAACCGGAGCUAAUACCGGAUAACAUGUUGAACCGCAUGGUUAAACAGUGAAAGACGGUCUUGCUGUCACUUAUAGAUGGAUCCACGCCGCAUUAGCUAGUUGGUAAGGUAACGGCUUACCAAGGCAACGAUGCGUAGCCGACCUGAGAGGGUGACCGGCUAGAUCUGGAACGCGGCACGGCCCAGACUCGUACGCGAGGCAGGAGUAGGGAAUGCUCGGCAAGGGGGGAAGCCCUGACCGCGCAACGCCGCGUGAGUGAGGACGGCCUUCGGGUUGCAAAGUUCUGUUGUAAGAGAAGAACGGUAGAUAGAGAAGAUCGAAAUGACGGUACCUUACCAGAAAGCCACGGCUAACUACGUG